RNAcentral lists this ribosomal RNA (465 nucleotides) under Vreelandella stevensii. RNAcentral's name for it is "partial 16S ribosomal RNA". It matches the Rfam family "Bacterial small subunit ribosomal RNA", at positions 338 to 795 of the family's 1533-position model. The record is from RNAcentral. Lineage: Bacteria; Pseudomonadati; Pseudomonadota; Gammaproteobacteria; Oceanospirillales; Halomonadaceae.
CCUACGGGAUGCUGUAGUGGGGAAUAUUGGACAAUGGGCGAAAGCCUGAUCCAGCCAUGCCGCGUGUGUGAAGAAGGCCUUCGGGUUGUAAAGCACUUUCAGUGGGGAAGAAAGCCUUGGGGCUAAUACCCUCGAGGAAGGACAUCACCCACAGAAGAAGCACCGGCUAACUCCGUGCCAGCAGCCGCGGUAAUACGGAGGGUGCGAGCGUUAAUCGGAAUUACUGGGCGUAAAGCGCGCGUAGGCGGUCUGAUAAGCCGGUUGUGAAAGCCCCGGGCUCAACCUGGGAACGGCAUCCGGAACUGUCAGGCUAGAGUGCAGGAGAGGAAGGUAGAAUUCCCGGUGUAGCGGUGAAAUGCGUAGAGAUCGGGAGGAAUACCAGUGGCGAAGGCGGCCUUCUGGACUGACACUGACGCUGAGGUGCGAAAGCGUGGGUAGCAAACAGGAUUAGAUACCCCAGUAGUC